CUUUGCAAUAUAUUUUACAGUUGAUUUUUUAGUAAUAUUUUAAUAUAGGAAAUGACGUAAUCCAUCUGUUAACAAAGAGAAAGAACUCGUCCCUUUAUGUGUCCAUCACUCUCCAGAAUGGUACGACGCUGUAUGAAACGUACGAUCGAUUCUCUAUCUCCGAUGAAACAGGGAAAUAUCAAUUCUUUUUGGGAGGACCUGCCACAGGAACCUUAGGUGACAGGAUGCUAGACACGGGUGAUUCGUACAGAGAUGUGUCAGGGAUGUACUUCAGCACCCCGGACGUGGAUAACGACAGACAUGCCGGUCACUGUGCUGCUAACUGGUAUGGAGGAGGAGGAGGAGGAGGCUGGUGGUAUAACCACUGUCACUACGCCUUCCUCAAUGGCAUCUGGUCUUCAUCCAAAUGGAGUUGGGUUUGGUAUCCACCAGUUGAAAAGGGCACAGAAGUCAAAGAAACUAUGAUGAUGGUCAGGCGUCACUAGAUUUAAGACGUUUUUACCAAACGCUCGGGGAAGAAAAAUGCCAAGGGCACAUAUGCUACAUACCAUGAUAGACGUUUUUAUUAUACCGUAGAACUCUUCUGAUACAGGAAUAAUUUUUUUAAAUUAUCAAUGCUAUCAGGAAAUUCAUUUACUCUUUCUACCCUAAUUCAAAAUUAAUGAUUUAUAUAAAACGGAAAUGCCUGUUAAUGUGUACGCUUAUCAUAGUUUUAGCGGCUUUUAUAUUUUUCUGACACUAAAU
Long non-coding RNA from Saccostrea cuccullata (small rock oyster), 744 nucleotides. RefSeq lists it as uncharacterized. NCBI's taxonomy places the organism in Eukaryota, Metazoa, Mollusca, Bivalvia, Ostreida, Ostreidae. The transcript has 3 exons. The record is from RefSeq and is a predicted model, not a curated record.